UGGGCUAUAGCCAAGCGGUGAGCAACGGACUUUGACUCUCGUCACUCGCUGGUUGAAUCCAGCUAGCCCAACCA
RNAcentral lists this transfer RNA (74 nucleotides) under Staphylococcus pseudintermedius. RNAcentral describes it as "tRNA-Gln". It matches the Rfam family "tRNA". Rfam says of the family: Transfer RNA (tRNA) molecules are approximately 80 nucleotides in length. Their secondary structure includes four short double-helical elements and three loops (D, anti-codon, and T loops). Lineage: Bacteria; Bacillati; Bacillota; Bacilli; Caryophanales; Staphylococcaceae. The record is from RNAcentral.